RNAcentral lists this ribosomal RNA (361 nucleotides) under uncultured bacterium. RNAcentral's name for it is "bacterial SSU rRNA". It matches the Rfam family "Bacterial small subunit ribosomal RNA", at positions 355 to 704 of the family's 1533-position model. The record is from RNAcentral.
GGGGGAAUAUUGCACAAUGGGGGAAACCCUGAUGCAGCCAUCCCGCGUGUGUGAAGAAGGCCUUCGGGUUGUAAAGCACUUUCAGCGAGGAGGAAAGGUUGGUAGCUAAUAACUGCCAGCUGUGACGUUACUCGCAGAAGAAGCACCGGCUAACUCCGUGCCAGCAGCCGCGGUAAUACGGAGGGUGCAACCGUUAAUCGGAAUUAUCUGGGCGUAAAGCGCACGCAGGCGGUUGGAUAAUGUUAGAUGUGAAAGCCCCGGGCUCAACCUGGGAAUUGCAUUUAAAACUGUCCACUCUAGAGUCUUGUAGAGGGGGGUAGAAUUCCAGGUGUAGCGGUGAAAAUGCGUAGAGAUCUGCGAG